This 259-nucleotide ribosomal RNA is filed under the name uncultured bacterium. RNAcentral's name for it is "partial 16S ribosomal RNA". It matches the Rfam family "Bacterial small subunit ribosomal RNA", at positions 97 to 353 of the family's 1533-position model. The record is from RNAcentral.
CCGGCACGGGUGAGUAACACGUAUCCAACCUGCCGUCUACUCUUGGACAGCCUUCUGAAAGGAAGAUUAAUACAAGAUGGCAUCAUGAGUCCGCAUGUUCACAUGAUUAAAGGUAUUCCGGUAGACGAUGGGGAGUGCGUUCCAUUAGAUAGUAGGCGGGGUAACGGCCCACCUAGUCUUCGAUGGAUAGGGGUUCUGAGAGGAAGGUCCCCCACAUUGGAACUGAGACACGGUCCAAACUCCUACGGGAGGCAGCAUG